RNAcentral lists this ribosomal RNA (497 nucleotides) under uncultured bacterium. RNAcentral describes it as "partial 16S ribosomal RNA". It matches the Rfam family "Bacterial small subunit ribosomal RNA", at positions 28 to 507 of the family's 1533-position model. The record is from RNAcentral.
GAUGAACGCUGGCGGCGUGCCUAAUACAUGCAAGUCGAGCGAACGGACGAGAAGCUUGCUUCUCUGAUGUUAGCGGCGGACGGGUGAGUAAAACGUGGAUAACCUACCUAUAAGACUGGGAUAACUUCGUGAAACCGGAGCUAAUACCGGAUAAUAUUUUGAACCGCAUGGUUCAAAAGUGAAAGACGGUCUUGCUGUCACUUAUAGAUGGAUCCGCGCUGCAUUAGCUAGUUGGUAAGGUAACGGCUUACCAAGGCAACGAUGCAUAGCCGACCUGAGAGGGUGAUCGGCCACACUGGAACUGAGACACGGUCCAGACUCCUACGGGAGGCAGCAGUAGGGAAUCUUCCACAAUGGGCGAAAGCCUGACGGAGCAACGCCGCGUGAGUGAUGAAGGUCUUCGGAUCGUAAAACUCUGUUAUUAGGGAAGAACAUAUGUGUAAGUAACUGUGCACAUCUUGACGGUACCUAAUCAGAAAGCCACGGCUAACUACGUG